CCGAAAUACCCGACCCGAACCCGAACGGGUACCCGAACACCCACCCCUACUAAUUAGAAACAUUAAAAUAUUUUCUAAGCAAAUGUAAUUAAUAUGAUAUCAACAUGUGCAAGUUUACUGUUUGAAUAAUAAGGAAAAUCUUUAAUAUUUGUCUUAGUUCAAAAUCUUGUCCAAGGCUAAACUAAAUCGAUAAUUAUUAUCCCCUAGCUAUAUAUGGGCUUAAUGAAAUCGAUAAUAGUUUUGGGUUUGUCUACAUAAGUGAUUGAUUAAAAUAAAUGAAAAACAAAAUUCAAAAAAAUCGACCAAUAGAAUUAUAACAAUUUUUCUGAGAAACUAUAUAUUAAUGUCAUGUCAGCAGAAAUCACUAAAGUGACUUCUCUUUUAAUGUAUAGGAGGAUUAUAAUGAAGAAUCCAGUUUUACUUUCCAACGCAUAUGUAUAACACAUCUCACAUUAUUAAAUAUCUAAUUUUGUAGUAUUCUGUAGGUAACUGAAAUAUAAACGAUGUGGGUCCCACAAAUUGGAUUAUGAUUGAUAUUACCGAUAGUUAGUUAGAUAGUAUCCAUAAAUAUCUUUAAAUAAUUAAUAUUGUUAAUUAACAAUAAAUAUAGAAGUGUCCCAUAUAUUCUUUACAAUUACUUUCAUAAAUAAAAUGUGAUAUCUCUUGUAUAUUAAAAGAGAAGCAUACAACAUUUGAGUUAGCCAUGCGUCGUAUUACCACAAUGAGUCUUAUAAUUUUUAAAAAAAUAUGUUGGUCCAUUAAGAUAUAUAAUAAACUUUUUAUUAAACUAACCAUAAAUUCGUUAUAAAUGUUUUUCAUUCUUUCCUUAAAUAAAAAUUACAAAAUUGCCUAAUGUGGCUAAAAUAUAUAUGUAAAUUAAUGAUUUUGAAUAAUAAAUAUUUGAUUAAAAAUAGUGUAUUCUCUAUCAUAUUUGUUUACUUUAAAUUAAUAAAAUAAAUUAAACAACUACAUUAGCCAUAUAAUAAAAAUUUUAAAUUUUCUGUAUAUAUUAUAUUUGAUUUUUUUUAAACGACUAUAAAUUACUAAAACUGUUAAAAGUCUCACAUUCAAAUUUUUGCGAUCCAUGUUUUAAAGGUUUUUGUUAUGAUAAAAUAUAAAUAAUUACAAAAUCAUAUAAGUAGGAAGUCUCAUUUAAUAAAUAUUAAGUGUAAAAGAUAUAUAUU
Brassica rapa (field mustard) is the source of this 1184-nucleotide long non-coding RNA. RefSeq lists it as uncharacterized. The record is from RefSeq and is a predicted model, not a curated record. Lineage: Eukaryota; Viridiplantae; Streptophyta; Magnoliopsida; Brassicales; Brassicaceae.